GACAAGGAGAGAGUUGUCAAAUCGUCGGAGGCUGUCAGAGUCGUCGUGGGGCUGUCAAAUCACCGUGGUGCUGUCAAAUUACUAGGGUUGACCCAUGUCCAGGGUAGGACGAUGUCCCAGGGCGGUUAUGCCGCAUACCUCUGUCAGGAUGGGCGACCUCCAGCAAUCGUACGGCGUUUGGAGGAGCCGACCGACCAUACAUCGAUGUUUGGUUGUAGGAUGUCGGGUGAAGAUCCAGGGACACUGUCGGCUAGAGCGGUGCAUCGCG
Molecule: long non-coding RNA, 268 nt
Filed under: Elaeis guineensis (African oil palm)
Lineage: Eukaryota; Viridiplantae; Streptophyta; Magnoliopsida; Arecales; Arecaceae
Description: long non-coding RNA (EGUI_LNC029780)
Source: RNAcentral